Molecule: ribosomal RNA, 253 nt
Filed under: uncultured bacterium
Lineage: Bacteria
Description: partial 16S ribosomal RNA
Rfam family: Bacterial small subunit ribosomal RNA
Source: RNAcentral
UACGGGGGGUGCAAGCGUUGUCCGGAUUUAUUGGGUUUAAAGGGUGCGUAGGUGGCUAGGUAAGUCCGGGGUGAAAGACGGCCGCUCAACGGUCGCAGGGCCCUGGAUACUGCCCAGCUCGAGUGCGGAUGAGGUGGGCGGAAUCUACGAAGUAGCGGUGAAAUGCAUAGAUAUCGUAGAGAACUCCGAUUGGGAAGCCAGCUCACUGGGCCGUUACUGACACUGAGGCACGAAAGCGUGGGGAUCAAACAGG